CGNNUGGCUAGGAUGACGCUGGCGGCGUGCUUAACACAUGCAAGUCGAGCGAGGGAGCACCUUCGGGUGUGAACUAGCGGCGGACGGGUGAGUAACACGUGGGCAACCUGCCUUACAGAGGGGGAUAGCCUUCCGAAAGGAAGAUUAAUACCGCAUAUUAUGAUUUUUCUGCAUGGGAAAGUCAUGAAAGGAGCAAUCCGCUGUAAGAUGGGCCCGCGGCGCAUUAGCUAGUUGGUGAGGUAAGGGCUCACCAAGGCGACGAUGCGUAGCCGACCUGAGAGGGUGAUCGGCCACAUUGGGACUGAGACACGGCCCAGACUCCUACGGGAGGCAGCAGUGGGGAAUAUUGCACAAUGGGGGAAACCCUGAUGCAGCAACGCCGCGUGAGUGAUGACGGCCUUUCGGGUUGUAAAGCUCUGUCUUCAAGGACGAUAAUUGACGGUACCUGAGGAGGAAGCCACGGCUAACUACGUGGCAGCAGCCGCGGUAAUAUCGUAGGUGGCGAGCGUUAUCUGGAUUUACUGGGCGUUAAGGAUGCGUAAGUGGAAUUUUAAGUGGGAUGUGAAAUACCCGGGCUCAACCUGGGGAACUGCAUUUCUAACUGGGAUUCUAGAGUGCAGAGAGAAAGCGGAAUUUCCUAGUGUAGCGGUGAAAUGCGUAGAGAUUAUGAAGAACACCAAUGGGCGAAGCGGCUUUCUUGACUGUAACUGACACUGAGGCAUGAAGCGUGGGGAGCAAACAGGAUUAGAUAUCCCUGGUAGUCCACGCCGUAAACGAUGGGUACUAAGUGUAGGGGUUUCGAUACCUCUGUGGCGCCGGCAAACACAAUUANUACCCCGCCUCGGGGAGUACGGCGCAGGAUUAAACUCAANGAAUUGACGGGGNCGCCCCAGUAGCGAGCAUGUGGUUUAUUUCNAGCACNCGAAACUUACCUAACUUGACAUGUCU
Molecule: ribosomal RNA, 948 nt
Filed under: uncultured Clostridium sp.
Lineage: Bacteria; Bacillati; Bacillota; Clostridia; Eubacteriales; Clostridiaceae
Description: bacterial SSU rRNA
Rfam family: Bacterial small subunit ribosomal RNA
Source: RNAcentral